UUCAGUGAUGAAAACCGCUGCAUAGGAAGUGCCGUCUGAUGCGACAACUGACGAUUAUUGAGAGCGUUUCUGAGA
Molecule: small nucleolar RNA, 75 nt
Filed under: Poecilia reticulata (guppy)
Lineage: Eukaryota; Metazoa; Chordata; Actinopteri; Cyprinodontiformes; Poeciliidae
Description: Small nucleolar RNA SNORD49 (ENSPREG00000016140.1)
Rfam family: Small nucleolar RNA SNORD49
About the family: U49 belongs to the C/D class of snoRNA which contain the C (UGAUGA) and D (CUGA) box motifs. Most of the members of the box C/D family function in directing site-specific 2'-O-methylation of substrate RNAs.
Source: Rfam by way of RNAcentral